Molecule: long non-coding RNA, 219 nt
Filed under: Lathyrus oleraceus (garden pea)
Lineage: Eukaryota; Viridiplantae; Streptophyta; Magnoliopsida; Fabales; Fabaceae
Description: Pisum sativum (pea) long non-coding RNA (PSAT_LNC021073)
Source: RNAcentral
CUACAUCCUCAAUUUUCAGCCUAUUUUUGUCUUAUAUAUAUAUUUUUUAUUUUUUAUUUUCUUAUUAUUUCUUUAUUUUUGUUCUUUCUUUUAUUUCCUUUAGUUUUUUUAGUUCUUGUACCUCUUGCAUUGAUAGUAUGCCCCCUCCCUUUUAUUAUUUCUUUUACUUUUUUUUAUUGCUUUAUUUUUUAGUUUAUUGUAUUGUAUUUUUAGUUGAUG